GGGACGAACGCUGGCGGCGCGCUUAACACAUGCAAGUCGAGCGAGAACCGGGGCUUCGGCCCCGGGGACAGCGGCGAACGGGUGAGUAACACGUGGAUAACCUGCCCUCGGCACCGGGAUAGCCCGGGGAAACCCGGAUUAAUACCGGAUGGCCCUUCCGACUUUCGAGUCGGUCGGCAAAGGUAGCUUCGGCCUCCGGCCGAGGAUGGGUCCGCGGCGGAUUAGCUUGUUGGUGGGGCAAUGGCCUACCAAGGCUCCGAUCCGUAGCUGGUCUGAGAGGACGAUCAGCCACACUGGGACUGAGACACGGCCCAGACUCCUACGGGAGGCAGCAGUGGGGAAUCUUGCGCAAUGGGCGAAAGCCUGACGCAGCGACGCCGCGUGAGGACGACGGCCUUCGGUGUAAACCUCUUUCAGGGUAGGACGAAGCGUACUCGGUAAUAGCCCAGAGGUGACGGUACCUCCAGAAGAAGCCUGGCUAACUACGUGCCAGCAGCCGAC
RNAcentral lists this ribosomal RNA (501 nucleotides) under uncultured soil bacterium. RNAcentral's name for it is "bacterial SSU rRNA". It matches the Rfam family "Bacterial small subunit ribosomal RNA", at positions 27 to 518 of the family's 1533-position model. The record is from RNAcentral.